Molecule: ribosomal RNA, 403 nt
Filed under: Verrucomicrobiota bacterium
Lineage: Bacteria; Pseudomonadati; Verrucomicrobiota
Description: Verrucomicrobia bacterium partial 16S ribosomal RNA
Rfam family: Bacterial small subunit ribosomal RNA
Source: RNAcentral
UGGGGUAUAUUGCACAAUGGGGGAAACCCUGAUGCAGCGACGCCGCGUGAGCGAAGAAGGUUUUCGAAUCGUAAAGCUCUGUCCUAUGAGAAGAUAAUGACGGUAUCAUAGGAGGAAGCCCCGGCUAAAUACGUGCCAGCAGCCGCGGUAAUACGUAUGGGGCGAGCGUUGUCCGGAAUUAUUGGGCGUAAAGGGUACGUAGGCGGUCUAUUAAGUCAGGUGUGAAAGCGUGAGGCUUAACCUCAUUAAGCACUUGAAACUGAUAGACUUGAGUGAAGGAGAGGAAAGUGGAAUUCCUAGUGUAGCGGUGAAAUGCUUAGAUAUUAGGAGGAAUACCGGUGGCGAAGGCGACUUUCUGGACUUUUACUGACGCUCAGGUACGAAAGCGUGGGGAGCAAACAGG